UACGGAGGGUGCAAGCGUUAUCCGGAAUUAUUGGGCGUAAAGAGUCUGUAGGCGGUUUAUUAAGUCUGGUAUUAAAUCUCACGGCCCAACCGUGAGGCUGUAUUGGAAACUGGUAGACUAGAGACUUUCAGAGGUGCGCGGAAUUCUGUGUGUAGGGGGUAAAAAUCCCGUAGAUACACAGAAGAACACCAAAAGCGUAGGCAGCGUACUGGGAAAGUUCUGACGCUAAAGGACGAAAGCGUGGGGGAGCGAACGGGGAUUAG
This 263-nucleotide ribosomal RNA is filed under the name uncultured bacterium. Its description in RNAcentral is "partial 16S ribosomal RNA". It matches the Rfam family "Bacterial small subunit ribosomal RNA", at positions 524 to 781 of the family's 1533-position model. The record is from RNAcentral.